This 335-nucleotide unclassified non-coding RNA is filed under the name soil metagenome. Its description in RNAcentral is "partial contains 5.8S ribosomal RNA, internal transcribed spacer 2, and large subunit ribosomal RNA". The stretch from base 2 to 121 matches the Rfam family "5.8S ribosomal RNA", at positions 35 to 154 of the family's 154-position model. The record is from RNAcentral.
GGAUGAAGAACGUAGCGAAAUGCGAUAAGUAAUGUGAAUUGCAGAAUUCAGUGAAUCAUCGAAUCUUUGAACGCACAUUGCGCCCGCCAGUAUUCUGGCGGGCAUGCCUGUUCGAGCGUCAUUUCAACCAUCAAGCCCCCGGCUUGUGUUGGGGACCUGCGGCUGCCGCAGGCCCUGAAAUGCAGUGGCGGGCUCGCUGUCACUCCGAGCGUAGUAGUUACAUCUCGCUCUGGGCGUGCUGCGGGUUCCGGCCGUUAAAAGCCUUAUUUACCCAAGGUUGACCUCGGAUCAGGUAGGAAGACCCGCUGAACUUAAGCAUAUCAAUAAGCGGAGGA